CCUACGGGGGGCAGCAGUGAGGAAUAUUGGUCAAUGGACGAGAGUCUGAACCAGCCAAGUAGCGUGAAGGAUGACUGCCCUAUGGGUUGUAAACUUCUUUUAUAUGGGAAUAAAAUGUUCCACGUGUGGGAUUUUGUAUGUACCAUAUGAAUAAGGAUCGGCUAACUCCGUGCCAGCAGCCGCGGUAAUACGGAGGAUCCGAGCGUUAUCCGGAUUUAUUGGGUUUAAAGGGAGCGUAGGUGGAUUGUUAAGUCAGUUGUGAAAGUUUGCGGCUCAACCGUAAAAUUGCCGUUGAAACUGGCAGUCUUGAGUACAGUAGAGGUGGGCGGAAUGCGUGGUGUAGCGGUGAAAUGCUUAGAUAUCACGAAGAACUCCGAUUGCGAAGGCAGUUCACUGGACUGCAACUGACACUGAGGCUCGAAAGUGUGGGUAUCAAACAGGAUUAGAUACCCCAGUAGUC
RNAcentral lists this ribosomal RNA (460 nucleotides) under uncultured bacterium. RNAcentral's name for it is "partial 16S ribosomal RNA". It matches the Rfam family "Bacterial small subunit ribosomal RNA", at positions 338 to 795 of the family's 1533-position model. The record is from RNAcentral.